AGAGUUUGAUCAUGGCUCAGAAUGAACGUUGGCGGCGUGGAUUAGGCAUGCAAGUCGAGCGAGAACCCAGCAAUGGGGGACAGCGGCGAAAGGGACAGUAAUGUGUAGAUUAUCUGCCCUCAGGUCCGGGAUAGCUGCGGGAAACUGCAGGUAAUACCGGAUAACAUCUCCGGAUCAAAGGUGUGAUUCCGCCUGAGGAUGAGUCUACAUCCUAUUAGCUAGUUGGUAGGGUAACGGCCUACCAAGGCAAUGAUGGGUAGCGGGUGUGAGAGCACGACCCGCGUCAUUGGGACUGAGACACUGCCCAGACACCUACGGGUGGCUGCAGUCGAGAAUCUUCGGCAAUGGGCGCAAGCCUGACCGAGCGACGCCGCGUGCGGGAUGAAGGCCUUCGGGUUGUAAACCGCUGUCAGAGGGGAUGAAAUGCAGGUGGGUUCUCCCAUCUGUUUGACAUAGCCUCAGAGGAAGGACGGGCUAAGUUCGUGCCAGCAGCCGCGGUAAGACGAACCGUCCAAACGUUAUUCGGAAUCACUGGGCUUAAAGGGUGCGUAGGCGGCGCGGAAAGUUGGGUGUGAAAUCCCUCGGCUCAACCGAGGAACUGCGCCCAAAACUGCCGUGCUCGAGGGAGAUAGAGGUGAGCGGAACUUAGGGUGGAGCGGUGAAAUGCGUUGAUAUCCUAAGGAACACCGGUGGCGAAAGCGGCUCACUGGAUCUCUUCUGACGCUGAGGCACGAAAGCUAGGGUAGCGAACGGGAUUAGAUACCCUAGUAGUCC
Molecule: ribosomal RNA, 774 nt
Filed under: uncultured bacterium
Lineage: Bacteria
Description: bacterial SSU rRNA
Rfam family: Bacterial small subunit ribosomal RNA
Source: RNAcentral